GUUUCGUAGUGACCUGCGGAGGAUCAUUAUUAAAAGUCAAUGAGUGCACUUAAUUGUGGCUCAGAAACCUUUAUAAAUCUUUUCACCCAUUAACCCAAAGCUGUCUUGUGUUCCCUUAUCUUUGUAUAAGGGUAAUAGCAAUUCAGUAGUACGCAUCAUGGAAAUUGCCUUUAUUGGAAUGUUCAAGUUGCAUUAACCCCCCCUUAUCAGUGACCCCCAUUUUUUUUAUUAACACUAAAAUAAGUUUUAAGAAUGUAAACCCCCUUUAAAUUAAAUAUAACUUUUAACAAUGGAUCUCUUGGCUCUCACAUCGAUGAAGAACACAGUGAAAUGUGAUAAGUAAUGUGAAUUGCAGAAUUCAGUGAAUCAUCGAAUCUUUGAACGCACCUUGCACCUUUUGGUAUUCCAAAAGGUACACCUGUUUGAGUGUCAUGAAACCCUCUCAUUCCAAUUCCUUAUUUGAUUAAGGAAAUGUGUAAUGGAUUUUGAGCGCUGCCGUCAUUGGCUCGCUUUAAAUAUAUAAGUACCUUUAUUGAAUAAAUAAAUGGAGAAAUACUUGGUGUAAUAUUUAUUAUUCAUCAAGGAAUGUGGUUUUAUUACUACAGCCAUUUGAGUUUUCAAUAGAUAGCUUCCUAACCCCAGUUUAUCAAACUUUUAGACCUCAAAUCAGGUGGGAUUACCCGCUGAACUUAAGCAUAUCAAUAAGCGGAGGAAAAGAAACUAACAAGGAUUCCCCUAGUAACGGCGAGUGAAGAGGGAAAAGCCCAAAUUUGUAAUCUGGCUCUUUUAGAGUCCGAGUUGUAAUUUUGAGAACUGUUUUCCGUGCUGGACCGUGUACAAGUCUCCUGA
RNAcentral lists this ribosomal RNA (849 nucleotides) under Melampsoridium hiratsukanum. Its description in RNAcentral is "eukaryotic LSU rRNA". The stretch from base 279 to 432 matches the Rfam family "5.8S ribosomal RNA". Lineage: Eukaryota; Fungi; Basidiomycota; Pucciniomycetes; Pucciniales; Pucciniastraceae. The record is from RNAcentral.